GGCUGGCCUGAAUGCAGUGGUGUUUACAACUAACUGAUCACAGCCAGUACAGAGUUCUUUUUUUUUCUCCACUCCCACUGCUUCAUUUGAGUAGCCUUAA
This 100-nucleotide Y RNA is filed under the name Pan troglodytes (chimpanzee). It matches the Rfam family "Y RNA". From Rfam's summary of the family: Y RNAs are components of the Ro ribonucleoprotein particle (Ro RNP), in association with Ro60 and La proteins. The Y RNAs and Ro60 and La proteins are well conserved, but the function of the Ro RNP is not known. The record is from Rfam by way of RNAcentral. Lineage: Eukaryota; Metazoa; Chordata; Mammalia; Primates; Hominidae.